This 73-nucleotide transfer RNA is filed under the name Ursus americanus (American black bear). It matches the Rfam family "tRNA". Rfam says of the family: Transfer RNA (tRNA) molecules are approximately 80 nucleotides in length. RNAcentral also lists the same sequence under 2 other names. The record is from Rfam by way of RNAcentral. Lineage: Eukaryota; Metazoa; Chordata; Mammalia; Carnivora; Ursidae.
GCCCGGCUGGCUCAGUCCGUGGAGCGGGCGAUUCUUGAUCUUGGGGUUGUGAGUUCAAGUCCCACGUUGGGUG